AUUGAACGCUGGCGGAAUGCUUUACACAUGCAAGUCGAACGGUAACAGCAGAGCUUGCUCUGGCUGACGAGUGGCGGACGGGUGAGUAACAUAUCGAAACGUAUCCAAUAAUGGGGGAUAACUAGCCGAAAGGUUGGCUAAUACCGCAUACGCCCUGAGGGGGAAAGCUGGGGAUCUUCGGACCUGGCGUUGAUGGAGCGGUCGAUAUCUGAUUAGCUAGUUGGUGGGGUAAAGGCCUACCAAGGCGACGAUCAGUAGCUGGUCUGAGAGGACGACCAGCCACACUGGGACUGAGACACGGCCCAGACUCCUACGGGAGGCAGCAGUGGGGAAUUUUGGACAAUGGGGGCAACCCUGAUCCAGCCAUUCCGCGUGAGUGAAGAAGGCCUUCGGGUUGUAAAGCUCUUUCACAAGAGAAGAAACGAUAUAGUUUAAUAGGCUAUGUUAAUGACGGUAUCUUGAGAAGAAGCACCGGCUAACUACG
This 484-nucleotide ribosomal RNA is filed under the name uncultured Methylotenera sp. Its description in RNAcentral is "bacterial SSU rRNA". It matches the Rfam family "Bacterial small subunit ribosomal RNA", at positions 30 to 505 of the family's 1533-position model. The record is from RNAcentral. Lineage: Bacteria; Pseudomonadati; Pseudomonadota; Betaproteobacteria; Nitrosomonadales; Methylophilaceae.